AUUGAACGCUGGCGGAAUGCUUUACACAUGCAAGUCGAACGGUAGAGGGGGCAACCCCUUGAGAGCGGCGAACGGGUGAGUAAUAUAUCGGAACGUGCCCAGUCGUGGGGGAUAACGUAGUGAAAAUUACGCUAAUACCGCAUACGAUCUCAGGCUGAAAGCGGGGGAUCGCAAGACCUCGGCCGAUUGGGGCGGCCGAUAUCAGAUUAGGUAGUUGGUGGGGUAAAGGCCCACCAAGCCAACGAUCUGUAGCUGGUCUGAGAGGACGACCAGCCACACUGGAACUGACACACGGUCCAGACUCCUACGGGAGGCAGCAGUGGGGAAUUUUGGACAAUGGGCGAAAGCCUGAUCCAGCCAUUCCGCGUGCAGGAUGAAGGCCCUCGGGUUGUAAACUGCUUUUGUACAGAACGAAAAGGUUUCUACUAAUACUAGGAGCUCAUGACGGUACUGUAAGAAUAAGCACCGGCUAACUACGUGCCAGCAGCCGCCGUAA
This 496-nucleotide ribosomal RNA is filed under the name uncultured bacterium. Its description in RNAcentral is "partial 16S ribosomal RNA". It matches the Rfam family "Bacterial small subunit ribosomal RNA", at positions 30 to 523 of the family's 1533-position model. The record is from RNAcentral.